GUUUGAUCCUGGCUCAGGAUGAACGCUAGCGGCAGGCCUAAUACAUGCAAGUCGAGGGGUAAGGCUCACUUCGGGAGACACGACCGGCGCACGGGUGCGUAACGCGUAUGCAACCUACCUUUAACAGGGGGAUAGCCCCGAGAAAUCGGGAUUAAUACCCCAUAAUAUAUAGAUAUGGCAUCAUAUUUUAUUUAAAGCUCCGGCGGUUAAAGAUGGGCAUGCGUGACAUUAGUUUGUUGGUGAGGUAACGGCUCACCAAGACUUCGAUGUCUAGGGGAUCUGAGAGGAUGAUCCCCCACACUGGUACUGAGACACGGACCAGACUCCUACGGGAGGCAGCAGUAAGGAAUAUUGCGCAAUGGAGGCAACUCUGACGCAGCCAUGCCGCGUGAAGGAAGAAGGCUUUAUGAGUCGUAAACUUCUUUUAUAUAGGAA
RNAcentral lists this ribosomal RNA (435 nucleotides) under uncultured prokaryote. Its description in RNAcentral is "bacterial SSU rRNA". It matches the Rfam family "Bacterial small subunit ribosomal RNA", at positions 11 to 446 of the family's 1533-position model. The record is from RNAcentral.